This 587-nucleotide ribosomal RNA is filed under the name uncultured bacterium. Its description in RNAcentral is "bacterial SSU rRNA". It matches the Rfam family "Bacterial small subunit ribosomal RNA", at positions 298 to 882 of the family's 1533-position model. The record is from RNAcentral.
GGAAGGUCCCCCACAUUGGAACUGAGACACGGUCCAAACUCCUACGGGAGGCAGCAGUGAGGAAUAUUGGUCAAUGGGCGAGAGCCUGAACCAGCCAAGUAGCGUGCAGGAUGACGGCCCUAUGGGUUGUAAACUGCUUUUAUAAGGGAAUAAAGUGAGUCUCGUGAGACUUUUUGCAUGUACCUUAUGAAUAAGGACCGGCUAAUUCCGUGCCAGCAGCCGCGGUAAUACGUGAAGGUCCGGGCGUUAUCCGGAUUUAUUGGGUUUAAAGGGAGCGUAGGCCGGAGAUUAAGCGUGUUGUGAAAUGUAGACGCUCAACGUCUGCACUGCAGCGCGAACUGGUCUUCCUUGAGUACGCACAAAGUGGGCGGAAUUCGUGGUGUAGCGGUGAAAUGCUUAGAUAUCACGAAGAACUCCGAUUGCGAAGGCAGCUCACUGGAGCGCAACUGACGCUGAAGCUCGAAAGUGCGGGUAUCGAACAGGAUUAGAUACCCUGGUAGUCCGCACGGUAAACGAUGGAUGCCCGCUGUUGGUCUGAAUAGGUCAGCGGCCAAGCGUAAAGCAUUAAGCAUCCCACCUGGGGAGUA